AUUGAACGCUGGCGGCAUGCUUUACACCUGCAAGUCGAACGGCAGCGCGGGCUUCGGCCUGGCGGCGAGUGGCGAACGGGUGAGUAAUACAUCGGAACGUGCCCAGUAGUGGGGGAUAGCUCGGCGAAAGCCGGAUUAAUACCGCAUACGACCUGAGGGUGAAAGCGGGGGAUCUUCGGACCUCGCGCUAUUGGAGCGGCCGAUGGCAGAUUAGCUAGUUGGUGGGGUAAAGGCCUACCAAGGCGACGAUCUGUAGCUGGUCUGAGAGGACGACCAGCCACACUGGGACUGAGACACGGCCCAGACUCCUACGGGAAGCAGCAGUGGGGAAUUUUGGACAAUGGGCGAAAGCCUGAUCCAGCAAUGCCGCGUGUGUGAUGAAGGCCUUCGGGUUGUAAAGCACUUUUGGCGGGAACGAAAAGGACUGUGCCAAUACCACGGUUCGAUGACGGUACCCGCAGAAUAAGCACCGGCUAACUACGUG
RNAcentral lists this ribosomal RNA (484 nucleotides) under uncultured bacterium. RNAcentral's name for it is "partial 16S ribosomal RNA". It matches the Rfam family "Bacterial small subunit ribosomal RNA", at positions 29 to 507 of the family's 1533-position model. The record is from RNAcentral.